Lathyrus oleraceus (garden pea) is the source of this 436-nucleotide long non-coding RNA. RefSeq lists it as uncharacterized. NCBI's taxonomy places the organism in Eukaryota, Viridiplantae, Streptophyta, Magnoliopsida, Fabales, Fabaceae. The record is from RefSeq and is a predicted model, not a curated record. The transcript is spliced from 3 exons.
UGGAAAUUGAGAGGCAAAAGACAAAGUGAAAAAGAGCAACAACAAGGGCUUUGGAAAGGAAAUUGAUAUAGCCAAAGUUCAGAGAUUGUAGGAAAAUCAGGUUCAGGUCUGAGCGGUCUCACCCAACGAGGAUGAACUUUGCCUAGUGACCGAGAUAUGCAGAGUUAUGGGUUCUAGGUUCUGUGAUGCGCGCCCAGCGAGAGAAGAACUUGCCUAAUAAUGGCUCACUCAGCGAUUUAUAAUCAGGAGUAGAGUUUUGUUGCUGUGAGUGGAAGAUAAUUAGGCAGUUUCCAAUCGACCUUGCUAUGGGUAUGUUUGCCCUUAAUUCGAACUCGAAUUGAGAUAGUGUAAUAUAUCUUACUUUGCAAAUGUAUGGAUAUAAGAGAGGUGUAAUAAUCAAACACUAUAAAUCCUAAGUUUGAUGUUGAUUAUGAUA